This is a small nuclear RNA of Notechis scutatus (mainland tiger snake), 145 nucleotides long. RefSeq annotates it as U4 spliceosomal RNA. NCBI's taxonomy places the organism in Eukaryota, Metazoa, Chordata, Lepidosauria, Squamata, Elapidae. The record is from RefSeq and is a predicted model, not a curated record.
AUUUUUAUACAGUGGCAGUAUUGUAAUCAGUGAGGUUUAUCCAAGGCAUGUUUAUUGCUAAUUGAAAACUUUUCUGUCAGGCCUAGCCAAGAACAACAACACAAUCCAGUCAAAGUUCAGGGUUGUUUUUUAAAAAAAAUUGUUU